Molecule: long non-coding RNA, 464 nt
Organism: Hemibagrus wyckioides
Lineage: Eukaryota; Metazoa; Chordata; Actinopteri; Siluriformes; Bagridae
Exons: 3
Source: RefSeq, a predicted model, not a curated record
AGGAAUACACUGAUACUGGUUCACGACUAAGAAUACCUUCAGUCGGAAGAACGCACAGACACAAACCAGUGCUCCUGGAAGAGGUCUUUAUACGUCGUGUGAGGUCUUAUUGUGACUCAGAGUUUCGGACGUCUAGGGGACCUCCCAGGUGCUAGAACAGAGAAGAGAAGCACUUGAUGCGUUCCUACCUGAACCUAUGUGUACCUAGAAGAUCGGAGGGAGUGUGGAGCAGUGCAAGGAGUGAUAAGAGCUUUGAGAGUGAGUUUUCCAGCGUCAGUGAUGGAUCCGAAGAUCUUCAUUCUCCUGGUUUUUACAGGAGUCGUCCCCUUCGUCCUGUCUGUCUCUCGUAGGUACUAUCUGUUCCAGGAAGGGAAGACAUGGAAUGAUGCUCAGUCUUACUGCAAAGCCAACUACAUCGACCUGGCUGUCAUCAGCAGUGAUGAAGAUAAGAUCCAGUUUCAGAA